This is a non-coding RNA of Claviceps sorghi, 95 nucleotides long. NCBI's taxonomy places the organism in Eukaryota, Fungi, Ascomycota, Sordariomycetes, Hypocreales, Clavicipitaceae. The record is from the annotation of a GenBank genome assembly.
GGGCGGAUGGUUUAGUGGUAUAAUACUCCCUUAGCAUGAAGUCACACCGUGAUCUAGUGUGGGAGUGGUCCGGGGUUCGAUUCCCCGUCUGUCCA